This 466-nucleotide ribosomal RNA is filed under the name uncultured bacterium. Its description in RNAcentral is "partial 16S ribosomal RNA". It matches the Rfam family "Bacterial small subunit ribosomal RNA", at positions 28 to 507 of the family's 1533-position model. The record is from RNAcentral.
GACGAACGCUGGCGGCGCGCCUAACACAUGCAAGUCGAACGAGCGAGAGAGAGCUUGCUUUCUCGAGCGAGUGGCGAACGGGUGAGUAACGCGUGAGGAACCUGCCUCAAAGAGGGGGACAACAUUUGGAAACGACUGCUAAUACCGCAUAAGCCCACGACCCGGCAUCGGGUGGAGGGAAAAGGAGCAAUCCGCUUUGAGAUGGCCUCGCGUCCGAUUAGCUAGUUGGUGAGGUAACGGCCCACCAAGGCGACGAUCGGUAGCCGGACUGAGAGGUUGAACGGCCACAUUGGGACUGAGACACGGCCCAGACUCCUACGGGAGGCAGGAGUGGGGAAUAUUGCACAAGGGGGGAAACCCUGAUGAAGCGACGCCGCGUGGAGGAAGAAGGUCUUCGGAUUGUAAACUCCUGUUGUUGAGGAAGAUAAUGACGGUACUCAACAAGGAAGUGACGGCUAACUACGUG